AUGGUUAAGCUACUAAGAGCACACGGAGGAUGCCUAGGCGCUAGGAGCCGAAGAAGGACGUGGCGAACAACGAAACUGCCUCGGGGAGCUGUAAGCAAGCAUCGAUCCGGGGAUGUCCGAAUGGGGAAACCCGGCUGGGGUAAUACCUAGUCACUCAUCACUGAAUCCAUAGGUGGUGAAGAGGCAUACCAGGGGAACUGAAACAUCUAAGUACCCUGAGGAAGAGAAAACAAUAGUGAUUCCGUCAGUAGCGGCGAGCGAACGCGGAUUAGCCUAAACCGAAGAGCUUGCUCUUCGGGGUUGUGGGACGUCUCACAUGGAGUUACAAAAGCGGAGGUUAGACGAACAGGUCUGGAAAGGCCGGCCAGAGAAGGUAAAAGCCCUGUAAUCGAAAGUCUCCGCCCUCCGAGACGGAUCCCGAGUAGUGCGGGGCACGUGAAACCCCGUAUGAAUCCGCCAGGACCAUCUGGUAAGGCUAAAUACUCCCUAGCGACCGAUAGUGAAGCAGUACCGUGAGGGAAAGGUGAAAAGCACCCCGGAAGGGGAGUGAAAGAGAACCUGAAACCGUGUGCUUACAAGAAG
This 582-nucleotide ribosomal RNA is filed under the name Paenibacillus macerans. Its description in RNAcentral is "partial 23S ribosomal RNA". It matches the Rfam family "Bacterial large subunit ribosomal RNA", at positions 1 to 573 of the family's 2925-position model. The record is from RNAcentral. Lineage: Bacteria; Bacillati; Bacillota; Bacilli; Caryophanales; Paenibacillaceae.